Molecule: ribosomal RNA, 717 nt
Filed under: uncultured soil bacterium
Lineage: Bacteria
Description: bacterial SSU rRNA
Rfam family: Bacterial small subunit ribosomal RNA
Source: RNAcentral
UGGCGGCAUGCCUUACACAUGCAAGUCGAACGGCAGCGCGGGGCAACCUGGCGGCGAGUGGCGAACGGGUGAGUAAUAUAUCGGAACGUACCCUGGAGUGGGGGAUAACGUAGCGAAAGUUACGCUAAUACCGCAUACGAUCUAAGGAUGAAAGUGGGGGAUCGCAAGACCUCAUGCUCCUGGAGUGGCCGAUAUCUGAUUAGCUAGUUGGUAGGGUAAAAGCCUACCAAGGCAUCGAUCAGUAGCUGGUCUGAGAGGACGACCAGCCACACUGGAACUGAGACACGGUCCAGACUCCUACGGGAGGCAGCAGUGGGGAAUUUUGGACAAUGGGCGAAAGCCUGAUCCAGCCAUGCCGCGUGUGUGAAGAAGGCCUUCGGAUUGUAAAGCACUUUAAGUUGGGAGGAAGGGCAUUAACCUAAUACGUUGGUGUCUUGACGUUACCGACAGAAUAAGCACCGGCUAACUCUGUGCCAGCAGCCGCGGUAAUACAGAGGGUGCAAGCGUUAAUCGGAAUUACUGGGCGUAAAGCGCGCGUAGGUGGUUUGUUAAGUUGGAUGUGAAAUCCCCGGGCUCAACCUGGGAACUGCAUUCAAAACUGACAAGCUAGAGUAUGGUAGAGGGUGGUGGAAUUUCCUGUGUAGCGGUGAAAUGCGUAGAUAUAGGAAGGAACACCAGUGGCGAAGGCGACCACCUGGACUGAUACUGACACUGAGG